UUCAGUGUUAGCAUUUUCUUCCACAACUUUUCUGUCUACAGGUCUUUGAAACAGGACGGAAUUUGUCUCUCACAACUUUUGACUUAAUAUUGAUGUUGUGACUUGGAAUGAGAACUCCAGGAGAGAGCAAGACAAGGUGUCUGGCCGUUAUUUGCUGGACAGCCUUUUUGGCCUGUGAGUCUCAGCUCUCGUAAGCCAUGUGGACGUGGGCUUGAUGCUAGCUUGUCAGGAAAGCUGAGACCUUCCUGCACCAUCUCAUCCCCUCAAAGAAAACUCAGGAGGAGGCACAGACUGUAAGAAGUAUUAAUUGAAUGUGAUAUCCUUCAUGGCUUCUCGACCUAGGAUUAUGCGUAGUUAAACAGCAGUGUUGUUUUGCCCUGGACUUGAAUGCAUUUUAAUUCUAGAUAAAAUGAGUCAUUCUACAUGGUGAUACAUAAAUAUUUGUAUUCUAUAGGUGUUAAUAAUACUGAAAUACUAAAACGCAGAGCUGUGUAAUUACAUGCACUUAUCCUGCACCAUUAAAUACUUGAUUUCUACUCAGUCUGAAACCUGCUAAGUCUCUGAAGAAUCCAUGAAUAUCCAGAGCACGAGCUAGGAAUGGAAAUGUAAUACUGCUGAAAAGGAGAG
Long non-coding RNA from Anser brachyrhynchus (Pink-footed goose), 627 nucleotides. The record is from Ensembl. Lineage: Eukaryota; Metazoa; Chordata; Aves; Anseriformes; Anatidae.